AGUGAACGCUGGCGGUAGGCCUAACACAUGCAAGUCGAACGGCAGCACAGUAAGAGCUUGCUCUUACGGGUGGCGAGUGGCGGACGGGUGAGGAAUACAUCGGAAUCUACUUUUUCGUGGGGGAUAACGUAGGGAAACUUACGCUAAUACCGCAUACGACCUACGGGUGAAAGCAUGGGAUCUUCGGACCUUGCGCGAUUGAAUGAGCCGAUGUCGGAUUAGCUAGUUGGCGGGGUAAAGGCCCACCAAGGCGACGAUCCGUAGCUGGUCUGAGAGGAUGAUCAGCCACACUGGAACUGAGACACGGUCCAGACUCCUACGGGAGGCAGCAGUGGGGAAUAUUGGACAAUGGGCGCAAGCCUGAUCCAGCCAUACCGCGUGGGUGAAGAAGGCCUUCGGGUUGUAAAGCCCUUUUGUUGGGAAAGAAAAGCAGCAGGUUAAUACCCCGCUGUUCUGACGGUACCCAAAGAAUAAGCACCGGCUAACUUCGUG
RNAcentral lists this ribosomal RNA (492 nucleotides) under uncultured bacterium. RNAcentral's name for it is "partial 16S ribosomal RNA". It matches the Rfam family "Bacterial small subunit ribosomal RNA", at positions 29 to 507 of the family's 1533-position model. The record is from RNAcentral.